GACAGUAUAUCAUUGGACAGCAGUGGAAUCCCCUACAUCUGCUGUCCAAUGCUAUACUGAUCG
RNAcentral lists this non-coding RNA (63 nucleotides) under Blattella germanica (German cockroach). The record is from RNAcentral. Lineage: Eukaryota; Metazoa; Arthropoda; Insecta; Blattodea; Blattellidae.